RNAcentral lists this ribosomal RNA (465 nucleotides) under Vreelandella stevensii. RNAcentral describes it as "partial 16S ribosomal RNA". It matches the Rfam family "Bacterial small subunit ribosomal RNA", at positions 338 to 795 of the family's 1533-position model. Lineage: Bacteria; Pseudomonadati; Pseudomonadota; Gammaproteobacteria; Oceanospirillales; Halomonadaceae. The record is from RNAcentral.
CCUACGGCGUGCUGCAGUGGGGAAUAUUGGACAAUGGGCGAAAGCCUGAUCCAGCCAUGCCGCGUGUGUGAAGAAGGCCUUCGGGUUGUAAAGCACUUUCAGUGGGGAAGAAAGCCUUGGGGCUAAUACCCUCGAGGAAGGACAUCACCCACAGAAGAAGCACCGGCUAACUCCGUGCCAGCAGCCGCGGUAAUACGGAGGGUGCGAGCGUUAAUCGGAAUUACUGGGCGUAAAGCGCGCGUAGGCGGUCUGAUAAGCCGGUUGUGAAAGCCCCGGGCUCAACCUGGGAACGGCAUCCGGAACUGUCAGGCUAGAGUGCAGGAGAGGAAGGUAGAAUUCCCGGUGUAGCGGUGAAAUGCGUAGAGAUCGGGAGGAAUACCAGUGGCGAAGGCGGCCUUCUGGACUGACACUGACGCUGAGGUGCGAAAGCGUGGGUAGCAAACAGGAUUAGAUACCCUUGUAGUC